GGGGAAUAUUGCGCAAUGGGGGGAACCCUGACGCAGCCAUGCCGCGUGAAUGAAGAAGGCCUUAGGGUUGUAAAGUUCUUUCGGUAUUGAGGAAGGUUGAUGUGUUAAUAGCACAUCAAAUUGACGUUAAAUACAGAAGAAGCACCGGCUAACUCCGUGCCAGCAGCCGCGGUAAUACGGAGGGUGCGAGCGUUAAUCGGAAUAACUGGGCGUAAAGGGCACGCAGGCGGUUAUUUAAGUGAGGUGUGAAAGCCCUGGGCUUAACCUAGGAAUUGCAUUUCAGACUGGGUAACUAGAGUACUUUAGGGAGGGGUAAAAUUCCACGUGUAGCGGUGAAAUGCGUAGAGAUGUGGAGGAAUACCGAAGGCGAAGGCAGCCCCUUGGGAAUGUACUGACGCUCAUGUGCGAAAGCGUGGGGAGCAAACAGGAUUAGAUACCCUGGUAGUCCACGCUGUAAACGCUGUCGAUUUGGGGGUUGGGGUUUAACUCUGGCGCCCGUAGCUAACGUGAUAAAUCGACCGCCUGGGGAGUACGGCCGCAAGGUUA
Molecule: ribosomal RNA, 546 nt
Filed under: uncultured bacterium
Lineage: Bacteria
Description: bacterial SSU rRNA
Rfam family: Bacterial small subunit ribosomal RNA
Source: RNAcentral